Molecule: transfer RNA, 31 nt
Filed under: uncultured Mallomonas
Lineage: Eukaryota; Synurophyceae; Synurales; Mallomonadaceae
Description: partial Selenocysteine transfer RNA
Source: RNAcentral
ACAUGGUGAGGUGGUGGGACUUCAAAUCCCU